This is a long non-coding RNA of Mesoplodon densirostris (Blainville's beaked whale), 431 nucleotides long. RefSeq lists it as uncharacterized. The transcript has 4 exons. The record is from RefSeq and is a predicted model, not a curated record. Lineage: Eukaryota; Metazoa; Chordata; Mammalia; Artiodactyla; Ziphiidae.
CCUGCCUGUCCCGACCGUCUGAGAAGCGAGGCAGCCACUCCGGAGACCGACAGUCAGUGCGUCAGCACAGAGACCCGGCCCCAAGCCUCCCUGCCAGGGGGUGCCCUUCCUUCUGUAGAGGAGCAGCUCCGGUGGUUCUCCUCCCCCUCUCCACCCUGCGGCCCACCUCUGCCACCACAUAUCAUUUGAAAACAAGCUUCGUGAAGUCAAGCACCUUGUCUGUUUUGUCACCGCUGUAUUCUAGAUAGUGUCUGACAAGUUUCCAAAAGAUGUCAUCAAUCCAGAGCACAGGCUCCAGACGCACAGGCUCAGCGGCCAUGGCUCACGGGCCCAGCCGCUUCACAGCAUGUGGGAUCUUCCCGGACCAGGGCACGAACCCGUGUCCCCUGCAUCGGCAGGCGGACUCUCAACCACUGCACCACCAGGGAAAC